Dreissena polymorpha is the source of this 313-nucleotide long non-coding RNA. RefSeq lists it as uncharacterized. Lineage: Eukaryota; Metazoa; Mollusca; Bivalvia; Myida; Dreissenidae. The record is from RefSeq and is a predicted model, not a curated record. The transcript has 3 exons.
UGUUAACCUUCCUGCGGUUACUUUACGUCAAUAGCGGAGUCAGUGACGUCUAAAACAUUGCUAUAUUCUCUCACAGUAUCGGACCUAGGCGUUCCACCAUGUUACUUGACCGAUACUGCGUUUGCCGCGGGCAUUCAACCCUUGGAGCAAAGUACUGUGACACCGCAAAAUACUCAGUACCUGGUGUACGCCCAUAAUCCGGGCGGAUUCGAUUUCAAAAGUUCCGGAGCCGUGAACGCCGAGAACACGUGCGGCGACUCCGUGUCCACCGUCAGAGAGACGCUGAUUGUGAACAUCAUCAGUACGGUACGUC